RNAcentral lists this ribosomal RNA (680 nucleotides) under uncultured Gammaproteobacteria bacterium. Its description in RNAcentral is "bacterial SSU rRNA". It matches the Rfam family "Bacterial small subunit ribosomal RNA", at positions 93 to 766 of the family's 1533-position model. Lineage: Bacteria; Pseudomonadati; Pseudomonadota; Gammaproteobacteria. The record is from RNAcentral.
GAGUGGCGGACGGGUGAGUAAUAGCUAUAGGGAACUAUAGCCUAUAUAGCGAGGGGGAUAACAGUUGGAAACGACUGCUAAUACCGCAUAAUGUCUACGGACCAAACGGGGCUUUUAGCUCCGGCGCAAAGAGAGGCCCAAGUGAGAUUAGCUAGUUGGUGAGGUAAAGGCUCACCAAGGCGACGAUCUCUAGCUGUUCUGAGAGGAAGAUCAGCCACACUGGGACUGAGACACGGCCCAGACUCCUACGGGAGGCAGCAGUGGGGAAUAUUGCACAAUGGGGGAAACCCUGAUGCAGCCAUGCCGCGUGUGUGAAGAAGGCCUUCGGGUUGUAAAGCACUUUCAGUUGUGAGGAAAGGUUGGUAGUUAAUACCUGCCAGCUGUGACGUUAACAACAGAAGAAGCACCGGCUAACUCCGUGCCAGCAGCCGCGGUAAUACGGAGGGUGCGAGCGUUAAUCGGAAUUACUGGGCGUAAAGCGCACGCAGGCGGUUUGUUAAGCUAGAUGUGAAAGCCCCGGGCUCAACCUGGGAUGGUCAUUUAGAACUGGCAGACUAGAGUCUUGGAGAGGGGAGUGGAAUUCCAGGUGUAGCGGUGAAAUGCGUAGAUAUCUGGAGGAACAUCAGUGGCGAAGGCGACUCCCUGGCCAAAGACUGACGCUCAUGUGCGAAAGUGUGGGU